UACGUAGGGGGCUAGCGUUGUCCGGAAUCAUUGGGCGUAAAGCGCGUGUAGGCGGCCCGGUAAGUCCGCUGUGAAAGUCGGGGGCUCAACCCUCGGAUGCCGGUGGAUACUGUCGGGCUCGAGUACGGAAGAGGCAAGUGGAAUUCCUGGUGUAGCGGUGAAAUGCGCAGAUAUCAGGAGGAACACCAAUUGCGAAGGCAGCUCGCUGGGACGUAACUGACGCUGAGACGCGAAAGCGUGGGGAGCAAACAGG
Molecule: ribosomal RNA, 253 nt
Filed under: uncultured bacterium
Lineage: Bacteria
Description: partial 16S ribosomal RNA
Rfam family: Bacterial small subunit ribosomal RNA
Source: RNAcentral